UUGGCUGAGGCAGCACAUCUGCUAAAUGAUAAUUCGCGCAGGUGUCCUAAGGUAAGCUCAUUGAGAACAGAAAUCUCAUGUGUACCAACAGGGGAAAAGCUUGCUUGAUUUUGAUUUUUAGUACGAAUACAAACUGUGAAAACAUGGCCUAUCGAUCCUUCAGGUCUGCAAAAUAGCAGCUGGUG
This 185-nucleotide non-coding RNA is filed under the name Symbiodinium microadriaticum. RNAcentral's name for it is "Eukaryotic large subunit ribosomal RNA". It matches the Rfam family "Eukaryotic large subunit ribosomal RNA", at positions 2621 to 2802 of the family's 3401-position model. Lineage: Eukaryota; Dinophyceae; Suessiales; Symbiodiniaceae. The record is from Rfam by way of RNAcentral.